GGAUUCACAGAGCACUGCGAGCCAAGGAACCACAAAACAGCCACCCAGGGAUGUCAUCAUCAGAUGGCAUUUCUAUUCAACAAAGGAAGCAAUUCUCAAGCAAAGCAGAGUCCAACAAUACACAUACAAAGGAGCGUCCCUCCAGAUCUACCAGGACAAUGCUCCAACAACCCUAGCAAGAAGGAGGGAAUUUGAAACCAAUUGCAGACCUCAUCAGAGCAAAGGGCCUACGUUUCGCCUGGGGUUUUCCCUUUAAGAUGCUCAUCUUCAACAGCCGGAGAC
Pelobates cultripes (western spadefoot toad) is the source of this 282-nucleotide non-coding RNA. The record is from the annotation of a GenBank genome assembly. Lineage: Eukaryota; Metazoa; Chordata; Amphibia; Anura; Pelobatidae.